Molecule: transfer RNA, 73 nt
Filed under: Methanothrix sp.
Lineage: Archaea; Methanobacteriati; Methanobacteriota; Methanomicrobia; Methanotrichales; Methanotrichaceae
Description: tRNA-His
Rfam family: tRNA
About the family: Transfer RNA (tRNA) molecules are approximately 80 nucleotides in length. Their secondary structure includes four short double-helical elements and three loops (D, anti-codon, and T loops).
Source: RNAcentral
GCCGGGAUAGGGUAGUGGUUUAUCCUGAGGGACUGUGGAUCCCUCGAGCUGGGUUCGAAUCCCGGUCCCGGCC